GACGGAGGAUGCAAGUGUUAUCCGGAAUCACUGGGCGUAAAGCGUCUGUAGGUGGUUUGAAAAGUCCACUGUUAAAAAUUGAGGCUUAACCUCAAAGAUGCCGUGGAAACUUUCAAACUCGAGUAUGGGUAGGGGUAGAGGGAAUUUCCAGUGGAGCGGUGAAAUGCGUAGAUAUUGGAAAGACCACCGAUGGCGAAGGCACUCUACUGGGCCAUUACUGACACUGAGAGACGAAAGCUAGGGGAGCAAAUGGG
This 254-nucleotide ribosomal RNA is filed under the name uncultured bacterium. RNAcentral describes it as "partial 16S ribosomal RNA". It matches the Rfam family "Bacterial small subunit ribosomal RNA", at positions 524 to 776 of the family's 1533-position model. The record is from RNAcentral.